GCUCCCUAUCUGUCGUGGGCGUAGGAUAUUUGAGGAGCGCUGUCCCUAGUACGAGAGGACCGGGCUGGAAGCACCGCUGGCGCACCAGUUAUCAUGCCAAUGGUACAGCUGGGCAACUAAGUGCGGAUUGGAUAAACGCUGAAAGCAUCUAAGCGUGAAGCCAUCUCCAAGAUAAGAUAUCCCAUAGCAUAAGCUAGUAAGACCCCUCAAGGACUAUGAGGUUGAUAGGUUGCAUGUGUAAGUGCAGUGAUGCAUUCAGCUAGGCAAUACUAAUAGGUCGAGGGCUUGACCAU
This 293-nucleotide ribosomal RNA is filed under the name Clostridia bacterium. RNAcentral describes it as "partial 23S ribosomal RNA". It matches the Rfam family "Bacterial large subunit ribosomal RNA", at positions 2633 to 2925 of the family's 2925-position model. The record is from RNAcentral. Lineage: Bacteria; Bacillati; Bacillota; Clostridia.